Mauremys reevesii (Reeves's turtle) is the source of this 1064-nucleotide long non-coding RNA. RefSeq lists it as uncharacterized. The transcript is spliced from 5 exons. NCBI's taxonomy places the organism in Eukaryota, Metazoa, Chordata, Testudines, Geoemydidae. The record is from RefSeq and is a predicted model, not a curated record.
UUGCUGGCAGGGACUGGGGAGCUGGCUGGCUGGCUGCUGGGAAGUGCUGGCUGGAGGUCCUGAGAAGAGGGUGAAGAAGGUGCUCUGGCUGCCGGGAAGUGGCCAAGAGAAUUGAAGCAGUAUUGUCGGAGAAGUUAAGGAGAGGCAGCAGGAGGCUGCUAUCUACAGGGUCCCUGGGCUGGGACCCAGAGUAGUGGAUGUGCCCGGUUCCCCCCGACUCGCCACUAGGGAAGUGGCUGGACUAUAGAGCUGGGAGAUACUUCCCUCCUCCCCGCAGAAGGGGGAAAAUGUGGAUGGUGGUAUGGACGGAGGGGCGAGUCAUGAAGAGGACUCUAUGGAAUCAGGCAUUUCUGCAGGCAGAGAAGGUGGCGGGAGAGGCCUGACCAGAAGAGGGCUGAGAGAGCUAAUCCCCAAGAUGGCCAGCAGGAGCUGCUGCUCUGUUUCAGACCAGACCAGAAGUGGACAUACAGAAAUGCCUGUAGAAAGGCUGUACUCCCAAGAUUCCUGCUUGGACCAGAAGCAAAGAAUAACUUAAAUCGCAAGAGAAUGCCUGUUCUUAUGAAAUCCACAGCCAGAUUUCUAGAUCAAAGAAGUUCAGAUGAGCAGCUAAACUUUUGGUUGCUUCUUCAAACUGAACCUUUGGAUCUUCGCCCAUCACUAGUCCUUGCUGGAUUCAAGAAGCUGCAACAGCGGAGGAGAAAAGAGAGAAGAAAAUAGGCUGGUUGGAAAACCCUCUGUCCAGAAGAGCUCACGGUAAAAUGAGAAGGAGAAUAGUGGUCUACUGCACUGGGAUGUUGGGUGCAGUCAGCAGUAAAUCCUAUACGCUAUUCAGGUUUCCAGGUUGGGACAGAGGUGCACAUCUUGGGGGAGCUGUACAUCCUUCAAAGCUGGCAGAGCAUCUACCCACAAUGGAACUGCUUUAACAGACGGCUCGAGCCCACACUUCCGAGGUCAGAAUGGAGCCCUAACUCUCUACCUCGAAGUUCGAUGCUGAAGAAAGAUGGAGCCAUUCAGAUAAGUGUGUCACAAAGCUUGGUCGAGCACAUCAAAAAUCUGUUUUAAAA